This is a long non-coding RNA of Mus musculus (house mouse), 6942 nucleotides long. RefSeq annotates it as predicted gene, 54189. The transcript is spliced from 2 exons. Lineage: Eukaryota; Metazoa; Chordata; Mammalia; Rodentia; Muridae. The record is from RefSeq and is a predicted model, not a curated record.
GGUGACUGUAUCCACUGCAGUAUAAACACACACACACACACACACACACACGAGGUGAUUGUAUCCACUGCAGUAUAAACACACACAUACACACAUGAGGUGAUUGUAUCCACUGCAGUAUAAACACACACACACACACAUGAGGUGAUUGUAUCCACUGCAGUAUAAACACACACACACACAUAAGGUGAUUGUAUAGACCUCACAACAACCAUAUUGAAUAAUAAUACAUCCCUGAGGGUCUCCAGUGCAUACAAAACAAAACAAAACACCAAUAUGAUCCUCUAGGCUGUAACCAUGGGCCUUCUAUGCCUACCCCAUGGAGGCUUAUCUUUAUUUACAGUGGUUUGGCCUUAGUUUAUUCUUGCUUUCCAACUAACUCUUAACUUAUAUUAUUGCAGUUAUGCUAUUCUGUGUCUGCCACAUGGCUGGUUACCUCUUCUCAGCUUCAUAUGUCAGACUUCCUCCAAGUCUGGGUAGGGAAUCUGCCAUGCCUCCUCUCCCAGAGUCCUCUCUGUCUGGAAGUCCCACCUUACUCUUCUGCCUUCAUUUUAACCAAUCAGAAUGUGCCUUAGGCAGGCAAGGGAGGACAGAGCCACAUCUUCACACAGUGCACAAAACCAUCACCUCACCACUAGGCCACUGUGCUACAGUGGUGCUCUUAUGGCCUCUGGAGUAUUAAUUCAGUGUAAGCUAAGCAUGUCAAAAUCAAAGCCAUGCCCCUCCACCUGGAGUGGAAAGCUACCGCUGCCAGCCACCCUGUUUGCCUUGUGCAUCAGUCUAGGCUUUAUCGGGAAAAUAGAAGGCACUCCAUAUAUCCCAAGUAUGAAACCAUUUUAAAAUAGCACUGUGGCCGGGUGUGGUGCUCAGGCCUUUAAUCUCAGCACAGUCUGGGGAGGUGGCAUAUAGGCAGACAUAUCUCUGUGAGAGCCUGGUCGACACAGUAAGUUUCAGGACAGGCAGAGCUGCAUAGCGAGACCCUAUCUUGGGGUGGAAAAUAGGAUUGUGAGUCAGGCUUUGUGGCACGGACCUGUGGUUCCAGUACUCAAUAGGCUGAGGCAGGAGGGUCUCAAGUUCAAGACCAGCCUGGGCUACACAGCAAAGUACUAACUCAAAAAGAUAAAUAAAUAAAUAAAUAAAUAAAUAAGGAAAAAUAAUUGAGACCUGAGGUCAAAGGGGGUGCCACCAGCACUGGGGCACUUAGUCUUCAAACCAGCCAUACAGUUAAGGAAUCUCCAGAAUUUCUCUUUAACCCACGAGCAGAUAACGAAGAGCCUGCCAGGAAACAUCUACACACCUCACAUGGGACUAAAAUUCCGAGUCUGCAACUGUCUGGAGUGCCCAGCUCUCCUGGAAGUGUUGUAGUAUUAGCUGAGGUAGGAGGUGCAAGUUCCCGCUAAUAGGGGCCUCCUCUGCCCUUCCUCUGUCCUUCAGCUGCUCCCUGUGAAGAGGGCCUGUCUGUGAGGCUUCAGGUCAGCUGACAGGACUUUGAUGUUCAACAAAAUCACUUUGGACUGGGGGUGAAUUUUCAGCUGUUGCCCAUGCCUUUGUGGGCAGCACAUCUGUUGGCGCCCUAAGGAGGGGCCAGCACUGAGCACAGAUAGGCCGUUCACACUUGGUUGCUGUGACUUGGCCAGGAGCUGCUUGGUUUGGCUUCCUCCAGACAGCUUGGCCCACGCAGCAUUUUGGCCGUUGUUUAUUUAGCUAUUUUUUCCUCCUCCUGUGGCUUGCUUUGCUCUGCCAGAGCAGCAAGUAGUCAGUCUGUGGACAGAGGUUGAUUUCAACUGGAUAGAGUGAAUAUAUUGAAAAGAAUUAAGCUUCCAUUAAGUGGCUCUGGCCUAGGGAAGCGGACCCUUGGCUUGUGUAGAGCAAAGCUGCCGGAGCCCAUUGAAGCUGCGACACACCUCCUCUCCUGUUUGCUUGUCUCCAGUUUUAGGCAGGCUCUAUUAGUCAAGUCAGGGUCAGUUUGCUUUGGUUUUGUUGGCAGGAUCUCACCAUAUAGUCCUGCCUGGUCUGGAACUCCCUGUGUGGACCAACACGGCUUCAAACUCACAAGAGAUUCACAUACCUCUGCCUUCUGAGUGCUGGGAAUAAGAAAGUGUGCCAGGUUGCCCAGACGAGACAUAAUUUGUGUAAGUUAAGAAUAGAUAGCAGUGGGUCUCAAUAUAGAUUGUUCACCAAGCUCAGGGCCCUCAGUUCAAACCCUCAGCACCAGUGAAGGCCAAGAAACAUACCAGCAAACAAGCCAAAAAUAGGGUACUUUUUAAAUGUUGAAAUUAACAUAAAAUAUAAUUUUUCCCAGUUUUUUGAUUGGUUGGGGUUUGUUUGUUUGUUUGUUUGUUUGUUUGAGACAUAGUCUCUCUACAUAGCUCUAGCUGUCCUGGGCUCACUAUGUAGACCAGGCUGGCCUCUUGGGUGCUGGGAUUAAAGGCCCAGUAUUUGCUUUAUAAAGUUUUAGUAUCAGUUUUGCUUUAUGCUUGGUUGCUUUCACCCUCACUAGCAAAUCCAUUCCUUCAUUGGCAUUAGAGCCCAGGAUUCCAGGUUCUAGUGAAGACCCGUUGUAACAUGUAGCCUUUUAAACGGAGAAACUUAUGGAUUCUUAUUAGACUUUCUGUUCGUAGCCAACCAUUACCGAUUAGCUGGACCCCACAGCCUGUUUAUUUAUUUUUGUGUAUGACUGUUUCGUCUGCAUGUACGUACAUAAACCAUGUGUACACUUAUUCUUGGCAGAGGUAAGAAGCGGGUGUCAGGUCCCCUGGAACUACAGUUACACACGGUUCUGAGACACCAUAUGGAUACUGGGAAUCAAGCCUGGGUGGUCUGCAAGAACAAGCAUUCUUAACUACCCAGAUACAGAAGUGUUGCAACUGGUUCUCUACACCCAUACUUCACCUGCCCUCUUUCUUCCACGUCUAGGAAGACUCUGCUAAGAUGGAUGGGGAGAUGUUUUUGAGAAACUCUGGGACUGGACCAAGCUUAUUCCGAUAUUCUGCAGGUCCUCCCGUUUCACUCCACUCCCUCUUCUCAGUUCCUUUUUAUUGUGUAAUCUAAAACUGUGUCUGCUUAAAUCUACCUUAAAACCUUGCUCGUCCAUCCAGUCUGGGCUGGGUGCCCUGAGCAGACCUUGAGCACGAACUCCACAGCCAGUCCCACAACACCCAGAGGAAGCUCCACUUCCAGGAGCUCUAACACGCCCAGGAUCAGAGGAUCCCAGGAUCCCAGAAUUGUAGGAUCCCAGAGACAGCUGAACUCUGAGGAGUUCUGACACAAGCAGGAUCACAGGAAGGACAGGCUCCAGUUACUUGGCAUCAUCAGAACCCAAUUCUGUCACCAUAGCAAGUCCUGAAUACACUAUCACACCAGAAAAGCAAGAUUUGAAUCUAAAAUCACUUCUCAUGAUGAUGAUAGAGGACUUUAAGAAGAACAUAAAUAACUCCCUUAAAGAAAUACAGGAGAACACAGGUAAACAGCUAGAAGCCGUUAAAGAAGAAACACAAAUGCCCCUUACAGAAUUACAAGAAAGUACAAUCAAACAGGCAAAGGAAAUGAACAAAAUCAUUCAAAAUCUAAACAUGGAAAUAGAAAAAUAAAGAAAUCACAAAGGGAGACAACCCUGGAGUUAGAAAACAUAGAUGCAAGCAUCACCAACAGAAUACAAGAGAUAGAAGAAAGAAUCUCAGGUGCAGAAGAUACCAUAGAAAACAUUGACACAACAGUCAAAGAAAAUGCCAAAUGCAAAAGGCUCCUAACUGAAAAUAUCCAGGAAAUCUAGGACACAAUGAGAAGAACAAACCUAAGGAUAAUAGGUAUAAAAGAGAGAGAGAAGAUUCACAACUUAAAGGGCCAGUAAAUAUCUUCAACAGAAUUAUAGAAGAAAACUUGCCUAACCUAAAGAAAGAGAUGCCCAUGAACAUACAAGAAGCCUACUAAUAAAACUCCAAAUAGACUGGACCAGAAUAAUAAUCUCAUCACAUAAUAAUCAAAACACUGAAUGUACUAAACAAAGAAUAUUAAAAGCAGUAAGGGAAAAAGGUCAAGUAACAUAUAAAGGCAGGCCUAUCAGAAUUACACCAGACUUCUCACCAGAGACUAUGAAAGCCAGAAGAGCCUGGACAGAUGUUAUACAGACACUAAGAGAACACAAAUGCCAGCCCAGGCUACUAUACCCGGCCAAACUCUCAAUUACCAUAGACGGAGAAACCAAAGUAUUCCAUGACAAAACCAAAUUUACACAAAUCCAGCCCUACAAAGGAUAACAGGUGGAAAACAACACAAGGAGGGACAUUAUACCCUAGAAAAAGCAAGAAAGUAAUCUUUCAACAAACCCAAAAGAAAAUAGCCACACAAACAUAAUUCCACCUCUAACAAUAAAAGUAACAGGAAGCAACAAUCUCUUUUCCAAAAUAUCUCUUAACAUCAAUGGGCUCAAUUCCCCAAUAAAAAGACAUAGGCUAACAGACUGGACAUGUAAACAGGACCCAGUAUUCUGCUGCAUACAGGAAACACCUCAGUAACAAAGAUGGGACACUGCCUUAGAGUAAAAGGCUGGAAAACAAUUUUGUAAGCAAAUGGUCCCAAGAAACAAGCUGGAGUAGCCGUUCUAGUAUCAAAGAAAAUCAACUUUCAACCAAAAAUUAUCAAAAAGAUAAGGAAGGACACUUCAUACUGGUCAAAGGAAAAAUCUACCAAGAUGAACUCUCAAUUCUGAACACCUAUGCUCCAAAAACCCCACAUUCAUAAAAGAAACUUUAGUAAAGCUCAAAUCAUACACUCCACACAUUAAUAGUGGGAGACUUCAACACCCCACUCUCAGCAAUGGACAGAUCCUGGAAACAGAAACUAAUCAGAGACCCAGUGAAACUAAGAGAGGUUAUGAAGCAAAUGAAUCUAAGAUAUUUAUAGACCAUUUCACCCUAAAGCAGAAGGAUAUACCUUCUUCUCAGCAUCUCUUGGAACCUUCUCCAAAAUUGACCAUUGACAAAACAGGCCUCAACAGAUACAAGAAGAUUGAAAUAAUCCUGUGCACCCUAUAAGACCACCAUGGACUAAAUAUCAACAAAAACAACGAACAGAAAGCCCACAUACACAUGGAAGCUGAGCAAUGCUCUACUCAAUGAUAACUUGGCCAAGGAAGACAUAAAGAAAAAAUUUAAAGACUUUUUAGAAUUUAAUGAAAAUGAAGACAACAUACCAAAACUUAUGGGAUACAAUAAAAGCAGUGGUAAGAGGAAAACUCAUAGCUCUGAGUGCCUCCAAAAAGAAACUAGAGAGAGCACACACUAGCAGCUUGACAGCACACCUAGAAGCUCUAGAACAAAAAGAGGCAAAUUCACCCAAGAGGACUAGAAAGCAGGAAAUAAUCAAACUCAGGACUGAAAUCAACCAAUUGGAAACAAAAAGAACUAUUCGAAGAAUCAACCAAACCAGGAGGUGGUUCUUUGAGAAAAUCAACAAGAUAGAUAAACCCUUAGCUAAACUAACUAGAGGGCACAGGGACAGCAUCCUAAUUAACAAAAUCAAAAAUGAAAAGGGAGAUAUAACAAUGAAAUACAUGUUAAAAUAAUUUUUCUGUUUGAUGAACAUUAACAGUUGAAAAUAUAAUCAUGUUCUAUAAAUAUGGAAACAUUAUUGAUACUUUUUCUCACUGCUUGAAAUUAUUAUUUUCUUAAUGUUUUUAACUUCAAAGAAUUUUUGCUAUUUUGAAAUUUUUAAAAUUUAUUACUGAUAAAAUCUCUCCUAGAAAUGCUGGUAAUCUUUUUUAAGUAAACUGAUUGUUAGACAAUAUACACAGAAAUAUAAUGUAUUUUAAAUACUCUCUCACUAUGUCAGGGGUAUCAUAUAAGGGCUUUUGAAUGUAUUUCUUUCUUAUUUUUUUUAAAAAAAGAUUUAUUUAUUUAUUAUAUGUAAGUACACUGUAGCUGUCUUCAGACACUCCAGAAGAGGGCGUCAGAUUUCGUUACAGAUGGUUGUGAGCCACCAUGUGGUUGCUGGGAUUUGAACUCGGGACCUUCAGAAGAGCAGUUGGCGCUCUUAACCACUGAGCCAUCUCGCCAGCCCCAUUGAAUGUAUUUCUUAAUGAUUCAUUUUUAAUAUUUUAUGCUCCUUUACUAUGCUUAAUUUCCAAAGGAUAUCUUGUAUGUUUUGAAACAAUUUAGUAUUCCACAUUAGAUAUAGGAUCCUCAGUUAUGGAUAGUAUUACAUAUUCAUUAAUGAUAUUUUUAGGGUAUGAAAGGAUAUGAAUUUUUGUAAAAGUUGAACAAAGUUUAUGUGUAUUAUUUGAUUCUCAAAAUACUCAAUAUUAUUAAUAUGUUUGAUGUAUAAAAUUCAUUUAAUUAAUAAAAAAUUUAAAAAAUAAAUUUUAGUAUUUAAAAAAACUUACAAAUAACUAUAAACAUCACAUUUUCACUUCCUCUCUCCCACAGAAAUAUUAUUUAUGUUCUUUGAUAAUAUGUGUUCUUAAUUGUUCAAGUUCUGGCAGAGGGCCAUGGUACACUCAGGUAGCCUUAAAGUUUAGUCUUACAAAGGGAGUGAGCAGGCAUGGUGGGAGAACCCAGAAUCUAAGCCCAUCCCCCCCACCACAGCCUGAGGAAGCGCCGGACCAGAGGGACUCCCAGAACCUUGGAAUAACCAGAGCUCUAGAAGAAAUGCAGCUCUAGAAGAAAACAAUAACCACACACAGGUGUGGCCAGGAGAAGGGAAUCGGGAUUUUCUCCACCCUUCUGCAUUCUGACAUCACCUCCCAUUGGCCACACCCACCACAAGCCGGUGGGCCUGAGCCCUUGAUUGUACCCUGGGCCUCACGUGGGCACCGAGUGGGAUAAGAGGUCAGAGCAGGAUGGCCUGCAGAGCCAAGCAGGGCAAAUUCUCUUCAGCCGUGUAAGCUUAUGAACUGAUGAGGUCGCCUGCUCAGUCCCACAAAGUAAAGUUAAUUGGAAAAAAAAA